RNAcentral lists this ribosomal RNA (364 nucleotides) under Boudemos sp. RNAcentral describes it as "partial large subunit ribosomal RNA". It matches the Rfam family "Bacterial large subunit ribosomal RNA", at positions 1953 to 2580 of the family's 2925-position model. Lineage: Eukaryota; Metazoa; Annelida; Polychaeta; Phyllodocida; Chrysopetalidae. The record is from RNAcentral.
AAGGUAGCAUAAUCAUUUGCCUCUUAAUUAGUGGCUAGUAUGAAUGGGUAAACAUCAGUUAUAGCUUUCUUAUAAGCCUGCAUAUAAAUUUAGAAUUUCAGUGAAAAUACUGAAAAUAAACAGAAAGACAAAAAGACCCUAUCGAGCUAUAUUUUAUAAACUAUAUAAUUUGUUGGGGCAACAAAGGACUAAUAUAAACAUCCUUAACUAAUUACCUUUAUAGACGAAAAAUAAAAAAAAUGAAAAGCUACCGUAGGGAUAACAGACUUAUUUUUUCUGAGAGCUCAAAUUGACGAAAAAGAUUAGCACCUCGAUGUUGGCUCAGGAUUACUUACACGUGCAGCAGCGUGUAAAGUAGGUUUGU